RNAcentral lists this ribosomal RNA (259 nucleotides) under uncultured prokaryote. Its description in RNAcentral is "partial 16S ribosomal RNA". It matches the Rfam family "Bacterial small subunit ribosomal RNA", at positions 524 to 782 of the family's 1533-position model. The record is from RNAcentral.
UACGUAGGGUGCGAGCGUUGUCCGGAAUUAUUGGGCGUAAAGAGCGCGCAGGUGGUUAAUUAAGUCUGAUGUGAAAGCCCACGGCUUAACCGUGGAGGGUCAUUGGAAACUGGUCGACUUGAGUGCAGAAGAGGAGAGUGGAAUUCCAUGUGUAGCGGUGAAAUGCGUAGAUAUAUGGAGGAACACCAGUGGCGAAGGCGACUCUCUGGUCUGUAACUGACGCUGAAGCUCGAAAGCGUGGGGAGCAAACAGGAUUAGA